Molecule: ribosomal RNA, 714 nt
Filed under: uncultured bacterium
Lineage: Bacteria
Description: bacterial SSU rRNA
Rfam family: Bacterial small subunit ribosomal RNA
Source: RNAcentral
UAACACGUAUCCAACCUGCCGUCUACUCUUGGACAGCCUUCUGAAAGGAAGAUUAAUACAAGAUGGCAUCAUGGGUUCACAUGUUCACAUGAUUAAAGGUAUUCCGGUAGACGAUGGGGAUGCGUUCCAUUAGAUAGUAGGCGGGGUAACGGCCCACCUAGUCUUCGAUGGAUAGGGGUUCUGAGAGGAAGGUCCCCCACAUUGGAACUGAGACACGGUCCAAACUCCUACGGGAGGCAGCAGUGAGGAAUAUUGGUCAAUGGGCGAGAGCCUGAACCAGCCAAGUAGCGUGAAGGAUGACUGCCCUAUGGGUUGUAAACUUCUUUUAUAAAGGAAUAAAGUCGGGUAUGCAUACCCGUUUGCAUGUACUUUAUGAAUAAGGAUCGGCUAACUCCGUGCCAGCAGCCGCGGUAAUACGGAGGAUCCGAGCGUUAUCCGGAUUUAUUGGGUUUAAAGGGAGCGUAGAUGGAUGUUUAAGUCAGUUGUGAAAGUUUGCGGCUCAACCGUAAAAUUGCAGUUGAUACUGGAUAUCUUGAGUGCAGUUGAGGCGGGCGGAAUUCGUGGUGUAGCGGUGAAAUGCUUAGAUAUCACGAAGAACUCCGAUUGCGAAGGCAGCCUGCUAAGCUGCAACUGACAUUGAGGCUCGAAAGUGUGGGUAUCAAACAGGAUUAGAUACCCUGGUAGUCCACACGGUAAACGAUGAAUACUCGCUGU